UACGGAGGGGGCGAGCGUUGUCCGAAGUUACUGGGCGUAAAGCGCGUGUAGGCGGGUUGCCAAGUCCGCUGUGAAAGCCCGAGGCUCAACCUCGGAGGGUCGGUGGAUACUGGCAGUCUUGAAGGUGCUAGGGGGAGAUGGAAUUACCGGUGUAGCGGUGAAAUGCGUAGAGAUCGGUAGGAACACCAGUGGCGAAGGCGGUCUCCUGGAGCAUUCUUGACGCUGAGACGCGAAAGCUGGGGGAG
Molecule: ribosomal RNA, 245 nt
Filed under: uncultured bacterium
Lineage: Bacteria
Description: partial 16S ribosomal RNA
Rfam family: Bacterial small subunit ribosomal RNA
Source: RNAcentral